RNAcentral lists this ribosomal RNA (446 nucleotides) under uncultured bacterium. RNAcentral's name for it is "partial 16S ribosomal RNA". It matches the Rfam family "Bacterial small subunit ribosomal RNA", at positions 338 to 795 of the family's 1533-position model. The record is from RNAcentral.
CCUACGGGUGGCAGCAGUCGAGAAUCAUUCACAAUGGGGGAAACCCUGAUGGUGCGACGCCGCGUGGGGGAAUGAAGGUCUUCGGAUUGUAAACCCCUGUCAUGUGGGAGCAAAUUAAAAAGAUCGUACCACAAGAGGAAGAGACGGCUAACUCGGUGCCAGCAGCCGCGGUAAUACAGAGGGCGCAAGCGUUGUUCGGAAUCACUGGGCGUAAGGCGUGCGUAGGCUGUUUCGUAAGUCGUGUGUGAAAGGCGCGGGCUCAACCCGCGGACGGCACAUGAUACUGCGAGACUAGAGUAAUGGAGGGGGAACCGGAAUUCUCGGUGUAGCAGUGAAAUGCGUAGAUAUCGAGAGGAACACUCGUGGCGAAGGCGGGUUCCUGGACAUUAACUGACGCUGAGGCACGAAGGCCAGGGGAGCGAAAGGGAUUAGAUACCCGAGUAGUC